Molecule: ribosomal RNA, 397 nt
Filed under: uncultured bacterium
Lineage: Bacteria
Description: bacterial SSU rRNA
Rfam family: Bacterial small subunit ribosomal RNA
Source: RNAcentral
UAAUACGUAGGGUGCGAGCGUUAAUCGGAAUUACUGGGCGUAAAGCGUGCGCAGGCGGCUUUGUAAGACAGGUGUGAAAUCCCCGGGCUUAACCUGGGAAUGGCGCUUGUGACUGCAAGGCUCGAGUGCGGCAGAGGGGGGUGGAAUUCCACGUGUAGCAGUGAAAUGCGUAGAGAUGUGGAGGAACACCGAUGGCGAAGGCAGCCCCCUGGGUCGACACUGACGCUCAUGCACGAAAGCGUGGGGAGCAAACAGGAUUAGAUACCCUGGUAGUCCACGCCCUAAACGAUGCCAACUAGUUGUUGGGGAAGGAGACUUCCUUAGUAACGAAGCUAACGCGUGAAGUUGGCCGCCUGGGGAGUACGGUCGCAAGAUUAAAACUUAAAUGAAUUGACGG